AUCAUUAUUAGCCUUUUGGCUACGAUCAAGUGAAGUAUCUCUUAUCAGCUUAAACCUGUUACAUCCUUAAUAUGAGGAAAAUAUAUUAAAUGCAUUUUUGGAAUUAUGGUAUGGAAAAGAACAUUGCGCCAUCAUACCCAUAUGUCAAUCUGAUCUUGAAGCACUGCCUGAAACAAUCCCACA
Molecule: small nuclear RNA, 183 nt
Filed under: Microtus ochrogaster (prairie vole)
Lineage: Eukaryota; Metazoa; Chordata; Mammalia; Rodentia; Cricetidae
Description: U2 spliceosomal RNA (ENSMOCG00000005694.1)
Rfam family: U2 spliceosomal RNA
About the family: U2 is a small nuclear RNA (snRNA) component of the spliceosome (involved in pre-mRNA splicing). Complementary binding between U2 snRNA (in an area lying towards the 5' end but 3' to hairpin I) and the branchpoint sequence (BPS) of the intron results the bulging out of an unpaired adenosine, on the BPS, which initiates a nucleophilic attack at the intronic 5' splice site, thus starting the first of two transesterification reactions that mediate splicing.
Source: Rfam by way of RNAcentral